Esox lucius (northern pike) is the source of this 2441-nucleotide long non-coding RNA. Lineage: Eukaryota; Metazoa; Chordata; Actinopteri; Esociformes; Esocidae. The record is from Ensembl.
UUUUUAUCUCAUGAUUUAGUUCAAAUAUUUCUAGGUCUUAUGUAGAAGAAAAUAGCCACUGACAUCUAGUGGCUAUUUUUGGGUACUUAUUCCUAAAGAUGUCUGAUUUAGCUCCCUGUCUAGCAUAAUCUGUACCUCAUCUGUUCGUGGUCCGGAUGGGUUCAGUUGUUUUUUGGGGUUUAGCUCAAUCAUGAAUUCUGCUUCAGAUGAAACUUUUUGUAUUUUCUUCUAUUCUACAUUUGGCCUUUGGCACCUUAACUAUAUCGGUUGUGGGUAAACAAUAGAUUUUUCUUUUCAUCUUGUGGCACCGCUGUGAAUUUGGUAGCAGGAUGCACAACUCACACUGAUAGGCCUCCAUCCUCCAUGAUAUCCGUGAACAGCCAAUCAUUUUCCAGGGGGGGCGUUAGAACCUGAUGUGAAUGAGGGGUCUGGAUUGGGGCAGGGAAGGAUCUAGCCACUCCUGCAAAGGGAAUACAAUUCUGAUUCAAGUCAUCUUUCACCAAUGAGAAGGUACUAUCGGGUUGAGGACAAGAGCUCUGAAGCAUGUUGGUGUCUGGAAGGUUACAGUGGUAGCCUAUGGAGGAGUAGAGUUGGUUUGGGGUGUCAUUCAAACAGGUGAGCUGCCUAUCUGUACCUUGUCUCUCCAAAGCACUCUCCAACAAACACUGUGAGCUGCCCUGGCCAUUUAAGAAGUCUCUAAUGGCUGAUACUGGAUCUACAGAGCAUCUGUAUGCAUGUCCAGAGUCAUACUGCCCGCUGAAACAGUCAAUCAGCUCCAUCUCAGACCUGCUGUCAGUGCUGCUGGUGCAGAGCAUCCACUUCUCUAUGAAACUGUCCGACUGAUUCAGAAAUGUGACAUCAUCAAUGUGCAACUUAGUGGCUAGGUUCCCUUCUUCACCCUGAGACCCCCAUAUGGUCUCAAGAUGGGGGUCCACGAAGUCCCCAAAACUCCCAUCGUCCAGUGGCUUCUCCUCUGAGGCCCAAAACCUCAUCAUAUCCAUUCUCUGGCUCUCCACUGUGUCAUCGUCGGCCACGUUGUUUUGGGACUGGCAGCAGACGGAAAUCUCAGUGGCCGCUGUGACUCCAAAGUCACAAGAGUCUAGGGACAAAUGGGAGAGUACAGGUGACAGGGGAGUCUGGUUGAUAGUUGACACGUCUUGGUUUUCUGGUAGAGCCCUCUGGUUCAGAGGUGGAAGCGUGGUAUUUGAAUCGGACUCUUGUCUGAGCUGUGUUUCAUAUUUCUCCCUAAUGCUGUCAAUCCAGCUACAAAGGCUCUCCUCUGAAGCCAUUUCACAUCCAAAGGGCUCCGUGGGAAGGUUUUCCCUGCCUCGUUCCAAGUCUUUCGUUUUUCCUGAUGAUCUCGGUGAUCCGCAGUCCGCUGGGUCGUCUAAUCUGAGCCCCUGUCUGUCUGUUCUCUCACGAGGAGGGCUGCCGUUGGACUGGUCCAUGUGUUGCUGUGGGCUGAGGCUCAAAUAGUCCCCCGGUUCACUGUGUUCAACUGCAAGGUCUUCAGUUGGAGUUGAACAAGGGGAGAGUGCACCCGCACUUUUGGGAGCUGGAGGGGAGAGUUGGAGUCAACAGGGUGGACGAAGGAAGAGAAAUGACAAAAGAAAAACACUCACCUCUGGAUCAUGUUGUGGAGAAAGCGUCGGUGGUUGACUUGGCGUUUGGACGGACGGUUCUUUCUUGGUCUUUGGAGUGUCCGCAUCAUGUGACCGGCUGCUGAUGUUACAAAGGUGAAGAGGUCGCGACCCCAGGGAACACCUCGCUCCAUCCCAGGUUCAAAGCUCAUUGAAUUUGAUGGACGCAUGGCUGGGAUUAGAAGAGGAGAAGUAACGACAUCUUCAGGGUAUUAGUGGAGGUUGAGGAAGAAGGUGAAAGAGAAGAUCUAGGUGGAACAUCUUGGUGAAUAUGUUCAUAUGAAUUCCAAUACAAUCAUGAAGUGGAAAAAUCUUCCUUGCAAACUUCCAAAGACAUGGUAGCAUAUGUCGAACAGAAGUGUCAACAGAUAUAAUACUGAAAAGAACCAUGUAAAAUUGGGAAACUCAUACUAGUGUAGGCUUAUUGAAAAGGUCUGACAAACUGAUACCUUUUUCGAAUUUUCAGUAAAGACCAAAAAUGAUUUAUCAACGAGCAUGACUUAUGAAACCUAAUGCCAUAAUUGAGAGAAAACUGAACAAAUAGCACUUAAAAACUCACUCACUUCUUUAACACAUUAGGUUAUAACCAAACCCUAAUCAUUUUGUUGAGAUUAUAUUUGAAACAAAACUAUUGAAAUUUUAUGGUGGACCAGUCAACAUAUUUCAGGUAAAACAUUUCUAUUAUGGUGUAAAUAAAAUAAAACAUUGAAUGAUUUAUUCCAAUUAACAAUUUAGUUAUAGUAUGGUACAUGCUCUAAUCGAACCCAUUACAGUUCAACAGCAGCAUGUUAAACAAAGCUG